Molecule: ribosomal RNA, 2904 nt
Filed under: uncultured Selenomonas sp.
Lineage: Bacteria; Bacillati; Bacillota; Negativicutes; Selenomonadales; Selenomonadaceae
Description: Bacterial large subunit ribosomal RNA
Rfam family: Bacterial large subunit ribosomal RNA
Source: RNAcentral
UUAAGUUAUGAAGGGCAUACGGUGGAUGCCUAGGCGUUUCGAGCCGAUGAAGGACGCGAUAAGCUGCGAAAAGUCACGGGGAGCCGCAAGUAGGCUUUGAGCCGUGAAUAUCCGAAUGGAGCAAUCCGUUGCGAGAAGUCGCAACACCAGCAAUGGAGGCAUACCUGGUGAACUGAAACAUCUAAGUAGCCAGAGGAAAAGUAAUCAAAAGAGAUUCCCCUAGUAGCGGCGAGCGAAAAGGGAAGAGCCCAAACCGGACGUCUUCGGACGUACGGGGUUGAGGACCGGCAGAAAGGAAAGAGUCUUUAGCGGAACAGUCUGGGAAGGCUGGGCGCAGAGGGUGAAACCCCCGUAGGCGAAAGAGACUUGACCGGGCCGGGAUCCAGAGUACCACGGGACACGAGGAACCCUGUGGGAAGCCGGGUGGACCACCAUCCAAGGCAAAAUACUACGAAACGACCGAUAGCGCAUAGUACCGUGAGGGAAAGGUGAAAAGGACCCCGGGAGGGGAGUGAAAAAGAACCUGAAACCGUAUGUCUACAAGCAGUCGAAGCACAAUAUUAGUGCGACGGCGUGCCUAUUGAAGAAUGAACCGGCGAGUUAAUUUAUGCAGCGAGGUUAAGCAGGAGAUGCGGAGCCGAAGCGAAAGCGAGUCUUAAGAGGGCGGAAGUUGCAUGGAUUAGACCCGAAACCACAGUGAUCUAUGCAUGGCCAGGUUGAAGCUCAGGUAAAAAUGAGUGGAGGACCGAACCCGUGAGUGUUGAAAAACUUUGGGAUGAGCUGUGCAUAGGGGUGAAAUGCCAAUCGAACGUGGAGAUAGCUGGUUCUCCCCGAAAUAGCUUUAGGGCUAGCCUCAGGCGACACAUAAAGACGGUAGAGCACUGAUCGGACGCGGGUCUGUAAUGGAUACCAACUCCAGUCAAACUGCGAAUGGCUUUAUGAGAAGAACCUGGGAGUCAGAAUGCGAGUGAUAAGACCCGUAUUCAAGAGGGAAACAGCCCAGAACGCCGACUAAGGUCCCGAAUGCUGUACUAAGUGGAAAAGGAUGUAGAACUUCCUAAACAACCAGGAUGUUGGCUCAGAAGCAGCCACCAUUUAAAGAGUGCGUAAUAGCUCACUGGUCGAGAGGCUCUGCGCCGAAAAUAUCCGGGGCUCAAGUACAGAACCGAAGUCGCGUCAUGCGCAAGCAUGGGUAGGGGAGCGUUCCAUAGGCGUUGAAGUCUGACCGGAAGGACAGGUGGAGCGUAUGGAAGUGAGAAUGCCGGUAUGAGUAGCGAAACGGUCAGUGAGAAUCUGACCCACCGAAAGCCUAAGGGAUCCUGAGCAACGCUCGUCGACUCAGGGUAAGUCGGGACCUAAGCCGAGGCAGCAAGCAUAGGCGAUGGACAACAGGCGAAAAUUCCUGUACUGCAUAAAGUUGAUUGAGGAUGGAGUGACGCAGCAAGGAGACUGAGCACGCGGCUGGAAGGGCGUGUCGAAGGCGGUAGGCUGUAAGGGAGGCAAAUCCCCCUUAUAAGGCCGAGAACCGACAGAUAGGGAAUCUCUACGGAGAUGAACGAAUUCAGUUGUACUACACUGCCGAGAAAAGCUUCUAACGAGACGAUAUGUACCCGUACCAAAACCGACACAGGUAGGCGGGGAGAGAAUCCUAAGGUGCGCGGGAAAACCCUCGUUAAGGAACUCGGCAAAAUGCAUCCGUAACUUCGGGAGAAGGAUGGCCGGAGCUGGUGAGACCCGUACGGGAGGAGCUGGAGCCGGCGGCAGAAGAGAAGCCCAAGCGACUGUUUACCACAAACACAGGUGCCUGCUAAAGAGAAAUCUGACGUAUAGGUGCUGACACCUGCCCGGUGCUGGAAGGUUAAGGAGAAGGGUAAUGCGCAAGCAGAAGCUCAGAACUGAAGCCCCAGUAAACGGCGGCCGUAACUAUAACGGUCCUAAGGUAGCGAAAUUCCUUGUCGGGUAAGUUCCGACCCGCACGAAAGGUGUAACGACUUGGGCACUGUCUCAACGAGGGACCCGGUGAAAUUGAAAUACCUGUGAAGAUGCAGGUUACCCGCGACUGGACAGAAAGACCCCAUGGAGCUUUACUGCAGCCUGUCAUUGAUUUUUGGCAUGUAACGUACAGGAUAGUUGGGAGACGGAGAGAGCUGGUCGCCAGACUAGCUGGAGUCGAUGUUGGGAUACCAACCUUUGCGUGUUAGGAAUCUAACCCUGGGAAUAACGAAACCGGGGACAGUGGCAGGCGGACAGUUUGACUGGGGCGGUCGCCUCCGAAAGAGUAACGGAGGCGUCCAAAGGUUCCCUCAGCGCGGACAGAAAUCGCGCGAAGAGUAUAAAGGCAGAAGGGAGCUUGACUGCGAGACGAACAGGUCGAGCAGGUACGAAAGUAGGGCUUAGUGAUCCGGUGGAAUGAGAGUGGAAUUGCCAUCGCUCAACGGAUAAAAGCUACCCUGGGGAUAACAGGCUAAUCUCUCCCAAGAGUCCAUAUCGACGGGGAGGUUUGGCACCUCGAUGUCGGCUCAUCACAUCCUGGGGCUGAAGCAGGUCCCAAGGGUUGGGCUGUUCGCCCAUUAAAGUGGUACGUGAGCUGGGUUCAGAACGUCGUGAGACAGUUCGGUCCAUAUCCAUCGCGGGCGAAAGAUACAUGAGGGAAGCUGCUCCUAGUACGAGAGGACCGGAGUGGACGGACCGCCGGUGUACCGGUUGUUGCGCCAGCAGCAUAGCCGGGUAGCUGCGUCCGGAAGGGAUAAACGCUGAAAGCAUCUAAGCGUGAAGCCUGUCCCGAGAUGAAGUAUCUCAUAGCAUAAGCUAGUAAGACACCUUGAAGAAUACGAGGUAGAUAGGGUAGGAGUGGAAGUUCAGCAAUGAAUGAAGCGGACUACUACUAAUAAGUCGAGGACUUAA